Molecule: transfer RNA, 72 nt
Filed under: Pseudarthrobacter chlorophenolicus A6
Lineage: Bacteria; Bacillati; Actinomycetota; Actinomycetes; Micrococcales; Micrococcaceae
Description: tRNA-Gly (GCC) (tRNA-Gly-GCC-2-1)
Rfam family: tRNA
About the family: Transfer RNA (tRNA) molecules are approximately 80 nucleotides in length. Their secondary structure includes four short double-helical elements and three loops (D, anti-codon, and T loops).
Source: RNAcentral
GUCGGUGUGGCGUAGUCGGCAACGCAGCAGUCUGCCAGUCUGCAGUCGCGGGUUCAAUUCCCGUCACCGGCU